UACAGAGGUCUCAAGCGUUGUUCGGAUUCAAUUGGGCGUAAAGGGUGCGUAGGUGGCGCCAUAAGUCAGGUGUGAAAUCUCGGGGCUCAACCUCGAAACUGCACUUGAUACUGUGGUGCUUGGAGUACUGGAGAGGAGAUUGGAAUUUACGGUGUAGCAGUGAAAUGCGUAGAUAUCGUAAGGAAGACCAGUGGCGAAGGCAAUCCCUGGGCCUGCACUGACGCUCAUGCACGAAAGCGUGGGGAGCAAACAGG
This 254-nucleotide ribosomal RNA is filed under the name uncultured bacterium. Its description in RNAcentral is "partial 16S ribosomal RNA". It matches the Rfam family "Bacterial small subunit ribosomal RNA", at positions 524 to 776 of the family's 1533-position model. The record is from RNAcentral.